AGACCCGAAACCCGGUGAUCUAGCCAUGGGCAGGUUGAAGGUUGGGUAACACUAACUGGAGGACCGAACCGACUAAUGUUGAAAAAUUAGCGGAUGACCUGUGGCUGGGGGUGAAAGGCCAAUCAAACCGGGAGAUAGCUGGUUCUCCCCGAAAGCUAUUUAGGUAGCGCCUCGUGAAUUCAUCUCCGGGGGUAGAGCACUGUUUCGGCUAGGGGGCCAUCCCGGCUUACCAACCCGAUGCAAACUGCGAAUACCGGAGAAUGUUAUCACGGGAGACACACGGCGGGUGCUAACGUCCGUCGUGAAGAGGGAAACAACCCAGACCGCCAGCUAAGGUCCCAAAGUCAUGGUUAAGUGGGAAACGAUGUGGGAAGGCCCAGACAGCCAGGAUGUUGGCUUAGAAGCAGCCAUCAUUUAAAGAAAGCGUAAUAGCUCACUGGUCGAGUCGGCCUGCGCGGAAGAUGUAACGGGGCUAAACCAUGCACCGAAGCUGCGGCAGCGAACGUAUCACCCAAGACAACUUUACGGAGUUGACGAUUGACGGAGCGAAGCGACGUCAAAGCGUUCAUUAAAGUCGAGUUGGCUUAGGGAUACGUUCGUUGGGUAGGGGAGCGUUCUGUAAGCCUGUGAAGGUGUGUCGUGAGG
This 645-nucleotide ribosomal RNA is filed under the name Salmonella enterica. RNAcentral's name for it is "partial 23S ribosomal RNA". It matches the Rfam family "Bacterial large subunit ribosomal RNA", at positions 711 to 1268 of the family's 2925-position model. The record is from RNAcentral. Lineage: Bacteria; Pseudomonadati; Pseudomonadota; Gammaproteobacteria; Enterobacterales; Enterobacteriaceae. RNAcentral also lists the same sequence under 2 other names.